This 217-nucleotide ribosomal RNA is filed under the name Escherichia coli. RNAcentral describes it as "partial 16S ribosomal RNA". It matches the Rfam family "Bacterial small subunit ribosomal RNA", at positions 1 to 216 of the family's 1533-position model. RNAcentral also lists the same sequence under 2 other names. Lineage: Bacteria; Pseudomonadati; Pseudomonadota; Gammaproteobacteria; Enterobacterales; Enterobacteriaceae. The record is from RNAcentral.
AAAUUGAAGAGUUUGAUCAUGGCUCAGAUUGAACGCUGGCGGCAGGCCUAACACAUGCAAGUCGAACGGUAACAGGAAACAGCUUGCUGUUUCGCUGACGAGUGGCGGACGGGUGAGUAAUGUCUGGGAAACUGCCUGAUGGAGGGGGAUAACUACUGGAAACGGUAGCUAAUACCGCAUAACGUCGCAAGACCAAAGAGGGGGACCUUCGGGCCUC